AUCCCCCUAUCCCUUGUCCUUCUUUCUUUUCCCUUUCUAUUUUACUCUCAUUUUUCCUUUUCCUUUCUCAUUCUUCGUCAUUCGCUUUUGCUCACAUUUUUAUCUUAUUUAUUGCCUUUUGCCUUCUCUUUCAGGUUCUCUUUCACGUUCCCUCCUUCUCCCGCACUUCACUUUCACUUUCUCCACCUCUGGGGUGCACAGCCUGCCCUUCCAGAGCCUGGCGUCUUCCUCACUUCCCCAGGUCUUUCUGCAUAUCCUUCAGUGGAGGUUUUGGUUCCUGUAAAUGCUACGCGUCGAUGAGCAUAUGUUUUUGUUUUUGUUUUUCUCUUUUCCCUUCUUUUUCUUCCCCCUUCCCUAGUCUGUGCCUCCCCUCCUCUUUCCCUCUCUCCCUUCUCCCUGGAUAGCUUUCUCUCCCCGUCCCCCCCUCCUUCCAGCUGCUUGAACAUCUCAAUUGUACCAUGUCGGCAGAUCCUCGCUGACCUGACAUUUUAUCCUAGAGCUCUCAGAUGCUGCCGAGGGAGAAAACUGGAUGUACCGAAGGGCAUGAUGGCUGGAAGCCGGAGAUGAGAAAUACUUGGAACACUGCCUGUGAGCCAGGAAAGCAGCUGGAAGCUGAGGAUGGGGACAGAAGUGGCCAGAGGAGCAGUUCUGCCCCUGAGGGUGCCAUUCUGCAGCUCUGGCCUCGGAACCUGGAGGCAGUGGGAACCUGUGGGGGAAUUGCAGCGAAGGUGGAGGAAUGUGGGAGAAAGUUCCAAAGAGGGAUGGCAAAGAGCAACUGGGUCUAACUUGUCCUGGAUAUGGAAGGUGGGGAGUAGGGGCACUGGGGAGUGGGAAAGUUGUCUGUUCCUGGCGAACGAGUCAUCCGAGGCCGAUGGAAGCACAGCGUGUUGCUGAAUGGAAAGAAUGAUGCUGAAUUUGGACAAAGGAGAUCUGUGGAGGUUGGAACGAUGAGUCGCAAAUCCUUGGAUGAGCAGAAUGGCAAGCAAAAUGCAAGGUUCAUUAGGAUUGUUAUAGAGAUUGCCAUUGUGUUCACAUCGACAAGAUUUGCCCUGUUUUCUCUUUGUGUGGUUAAGGUUGGAAUGAAGCUGGAAUGCUCGGAAGGUCCAGUGUCCAGGUUCUGACAGGUUCUCUCAGACCCAGCCCAUUACCUGACAAUCUUAGUCACCUGAGUUGGGGGGUGGGCAGUUGGCAGGAUUCUCGCCGAAAUGUCUUUCUUGUGAUUUGUCCAGCAAUUCCUUCCCUCAGCCAAACCAGAAAAACCACUGAAUCUGAGGUAUUUGGAGUGGGUAGAUGGUGUUCUGGAUCCUUUAAAGGCAAAUGGCUAUAAAAUGAAAUGAUCCCCUUAAAAGUUCACUUCGUCCUUGAAGUGUGUGUGUGUGUGUGUGUGUGUGUGUGUGUGUGUGUGUGUGUGUAGGGGAGGAGGUCCUGUAAGGCUCUCACUUUUUCCAAAUGAACUUCCCCAACUUCAUUAGGAGCAAGUGCAAACAGAUGGGGAGGGCGUAUUUCAUAAUAGCAACAGCCUCCUCACCACUGACCACCAUGAGAAAAAC
Molecule: long non-coding RNA, 1550 nt
Organism: Zalophus californianus (California sea lion)
Lineage: Eukaryota; Metazoa; Chordata; Mammalia; Carnivora; Otariidae
Exons: 3
Source: RefSeq, a predicted model, not a curated record